UCCUGCCAACAGUGUCGGAAUUCGAAUCCGGAAGCGCCUACGCGAAGCUCAAGUUGCGAAGAGUCCAGAAGUACAAGAGUUUUGGCCGGAAAGUGGCCGGAAGGCGGCGGAUCGGGGCCGGAAAGUCGCUGCUCACGCGACACUUCCCAUGGCUGCCGGCAAGGAUUUUCCGACGAAGGAGGGUGGCUUCCGGGGUUUUCGGGGGUGGGGAGUCCGAU
Molecule: long non-coding RNA, 218 nt
Filed under: Ricinus communis (castor bean)
Lineage: Eukaryota; Viridiplantae; Streptophyta; Magnoliopsida; Malpighiales; Euphorbiaceae
Description: long non-coding RNA (RCOM_LNC003381)
Source: RNAcentral